CUCUAGCCCUGAUGGGAGUGGCAUCCUGUGGCGCUGGGGUUCAGCGCGACAGAUAUAACGGACAGCAGGAGCAUUG
This 76-nucleotide small RNA is filed under the name Flavobacterium succinicans. Its description in RNAcentral is "Flavo-1 RNA". It matches the Rfam family "Flavo-1 RNA". Lineage: Bacteria; Pseudomonadati; Bacteroidota; Flavobacteriia; Flavobacteriales; Flavobacteriaceae. The record is from Rfam by way of RNAcentral.